This is a non-coding RNA of Schizosaccharomyces pombe (fission yeast), 1759 nucleotides long. Lineage: Eukaryota; Fungi; Ascomycota; Schizosaccharomycetes; Schizosaccharomycetales; Schizosaccharomycetaceae. The record is from the annotation of a GenBank genome assembly.
ACAAUACUCAAUACACGGAGGAAAUUAGACAAUGCCAGAUAAUUAAUUAUUCACGUUGUUCUUUUGUAUCUUCAGUUAAUCAGCUGAACAAAGACAAACUGUCUGUUUGUGUUGUUAUGGCACGAGUAAUGAGACCGACGUAUCGUUGUCAUGUAAAUAAAGCAGUGGUAAAAAAAAAAAAGAAAAAAAAAAGAGGCCUCUAUUAACAAAAAAAAGGGUUUAAUAGUAUUGAAGGUAUUUAAAUUAAAAACGUAUAUACUUUGAUUGUAGAACCGAAAAUAUCCAAACCAGACUGCGGAAGUCUACUAUUGAUUGCUAUGAUCAUCGGAUCAAUAUACUAUCUGCGGGAUACCUAAUUUUGGAGGCGAGCGUUCGCACGAGUAACUAGGAACGAGGACGCCAAGGCAAAGGAAUUUUGCAAAACCAAUGCGAUAUUGUACAACGCUAAUUGCUUAUGUAGUAAUUGCACAUCAACGGACACAUUAUUACACGAAUUUGACAUAGACAAAAAAGACAGUUAGCGAAGUAGAGCGAGAAGCUUUUGCGAUUCCGUAAAUUCGCGAAAGUGAAAUUGAAUGAAGUGUUGAAAAAUAAGUAAUUUCUUGGUACAGGCAGAUAUAUAAAAAGAAAAAAAAAUAUUUUUGAAAAGAAACCGAUUAAUAAUAUCAAAAAAUUAGAUUUUAAAAGUAGAAGAGCGUGAUAGCUCUAAGCGAGCUUGUAGCCGUUCUUCCAGAGUGAGUGUAUGUAUGGAGUUUUCAAAAAUUGAGGCACACGCUGGCUUCCAAGUUACUUCUUUUAUUUUAAGACUUAUGCCAUCUUGACGAGAAGACCAGCUUCUACUCUCAAUUUGGUUUUUCCUAGUGCCUUUGUAAUGAACUAAAGGAGGAAGUAUGUACAAGUCGACAACGGCAAUUUUUCUGACUGGCUUCAAAAGAGAAAAGCAUCCACAAUGGGCAAGUAUAGUAGCAAUAUCGGAAUCAUCAGUAUACACAUCGGUCCCCCAUAUUUCUCGUCUGCAAAGUCUGGGAUUGAUGGCUGCAUUCAGCCAUUUGAUGUCGAUUGUCACACGAACGAACUUACCAAUUGAGGAAUAUAAAAGAGGAAAUUCAAGCCAAGGAGUGUAUUCAUAUUCGGUGACUGGAAAUAAAGAUUCAGACGCUGGAUAUCGGUUAAGAAAAGGUUCCAACGCACUAUUAUCUAUACUGAUUAUCGGAGAAACGAAUUGUCGAACUUGGAAUUGCGGAUAAGAUGUCGUUUUGGACAAGGAAGUUGAUAAAUUGGAUGGACGCGAUUCCAUACUAAUGGAAUCAGCACUUGUAGCCGUUGGCGCUCCAGGAUGUGAAUACUUGGCUUCCUCUUCUCCUGAUGACUGAGUAGGAAGAGUUUUUUGACGUUUAACAGAGCUUGUAUUUUCCUCUUGGUCGGAAACCCCUUUCCUUUCCCAAACUGAAUUUGGAUAUUUGGCUUCAGAAGGUUGUUUGGUAUAUGACAUGGGUGUCGAUGUAGCCAUUGGUAAAGUAUUCAUAUUCAUAUUCCCCAUUCCAUUUUCCGAGUACUCAGGAUCUCCGUUAUCAUUAGAACUUUCUAAGAUAGACCCUAUAGAAAGCUUGAUAUUUGAAGGUUGAGAUGGCUGUGAGCUACCAUUUGUACUAGUUUCUUCUAUUUUCAUAGAGUCCUUUGGAUCAAAUGUUUUUUUCCUACAAGUUAGUUUAACAAACUAAAAAAGUUCCCUGAAAUACAUACGAUUGCUCAUUUUCUG